CCUGCCGAUCCUUACACCAUCCUCCCACUCCGCCGCUCCGUUUUUGUGGCUUUCGGGUAAAGCAUUUUUAUUUAUAUUUAGUUCUUCUCUCGACGCUUUUCCUAGGCCAUUAUCAAAGUCCCUUCCUUCCAGCAUUUGUGAAUUACAAAAAUGAAAUUAAGUUCACACUUUGUCAUGUGGGGACAUUUACGGUUUUUAAUUGUUUGUGCGCUGCGUUAAGGACUUGAGCUAGAGUGCUGGCGAGAUGGGAAAAGUGCAGUAAGUGGGGAAAUGUUGCCUACAUUUCGGAGCUAAAAAAUUAUUCCUGGCAUUAAGUGAGGCACCCUUCAGUGGGCAGGCCACUUCAACUUGAACUUCCCAGGCCGCAUCCUUGACGUUUCCAGACGAGCACUAGGAAAUAAGUGUGCCGGAAAGCUUCAGAGUUACAAUUUUCCCGCAUCGACUGCACUACUUACAGAAGAUUUAAAUACAGAAAAGUACCCAGUACAUUUCAUAAUCUGUUCGUCCGAGCCUUUACACUCCUCCACUACUAUUUUAUUAAAAAGAGCUUACUUUUUUAGUAGCGUUUUACUGGGCUCAAUCGUGUGUAAUUUUCGGAUGUCUGUAUUUAAUCCGUUGGAGAGUUUUCAGUUUUUUAUGUUAGGUGGCUCAUAAAGUUGUAAUCGCAUUUCGGAAGGAAACCAAUUUUGUAACCGAUUUACAUUCGCUUGCUUUUUUCGGAGAUGAUAUGGGGCGAAAUGCGGUGUUUUAAAGAAGUCUGGCGGGCUUAUCUGAUGCU
This is a non-coding RNA of Drosophila suzukii, 778 nucleotides long. The record is from RefSeq and is a predicted model, not a curated record. Lineage: Eukaryota; Metazoa; Arthropoda; Insecta; Diptera; Drosophilidae.